UACAGAGGGGGCAAGCGUUGUUCGGAAUUACUGGGCGUAAAGGGCGCGUAGGCGGCCUUCUAAGUCGAACGUGAAAUCCCCGGGCUCAACCCGGGAACUGCGUCCGAUACUGGAAGGCUUGAAUCCGGGAGAGGGAUGCGGAAUUCCAGGUGUAGCGGUGAAAUGCGUAGAUAUCUGGAGGAACACCGGUGGCGAAGGCGGCAUCCUGGACCGGCAUUGACGCUGAUGCGCGAAAGCAAGGGGAGCGAACGGG
This 253-nucleotide ribosomal RNA is filed under the name uncultured bacterium. RNAcentral's name for it is "partial 16S ribosomal RNA". It matches the Rfam family "Bacterial small subunit ribosomal RNA", at positions 524 to 776 of the family's 1533-position model. The record is from RNAcentral.